GACGAACGCUGGCGGCGUGCCUAAUACAUGCAAGUAGAACGCACAGUUUAUACCGUAGCUUGCUACACCAUAGACUGUGAGUUGCGAACGGGUGAGUAACGCGUAGGUAACCUGCCUGGUAGCGGGGGAUAACUAUUGGAAACGAUAGCUAAUACCGCAUAAUAUUAAUUAUUGCAUGAUAAUUAAUUGAAAGGUGCAAUUGCACCACUACCAGAUGGACCUGCGUUGUAUUAGCUAGUAGGUGAGGUAACGGCUCACCUAGGCGACGAAACAUAGCCGACCUGGGAGGGUGAUCGGCCACACUGGGACUGAGGCACGGCUCAGGCUCCUUCGGGAGGCAGCAGUAAGGAAUCUUCGGGAAUGGACGAAAGUCUGGACGAGCAACGCCGCGGGAGUGAAGAAGGGUUUCGGAUCGUAAAGCUCUGUUGUAAGAGAAGAACGGGUGUGAGAGUGGAAAGUUCACACUGUGACGGUAUCUUACCAGAAAGGGACGGCUAACUACGUG
Molecule: ribosomal RNA, 505 nt
Filed under: uncultured bacterium
Lineage: Bacteria
Description: partial 16S ribosomal RNA
Rfam family: Bacterial small subunit ribosomal RNA
Source: RNAcentral